RNAcentral lists this transfer RNA (63 nucleotides) under Melyridae sp. 'Dasytidae' GENSP01. Its description in RNAcentral is "tRNA-Glu". The record is from RNAcentral. Lineage: Eukaryota; Metazoa; Arthropoda; Insecta; Coleoptera; Melyridae.
AUUUAUAUAGUUUAAAAUAAAACCUUAUAUUUUCAAUAUAAAAAUAAAUAAUUUUUAUAAAUA